GUCUAUAGUCACACCACCCUGAACACUCCUGAUCUAAUCUGACCUCAGAAAAAGCUAAGCAGGGUCUGGCCUCAUUAGUACUUGGAUGAAAUACAAAGUCUCUGGGAAGAUACAAAGGAAGAGG
Molecule: ribosomal RNA, 124 nt
Filed under: Nannospalax galili (Upper Galilee mountains blind mole rat)
Lineage: Eukaryota; Metazoa; Chordata; Mammalia; Rodentia; Spalacidae
Source: RNAcentral